RNAcentral lists this ribosomal RNA (441 nucleotides) under uncultured bacterium. RNAcentral's name for it is "partial 16S ribosomal RNA". It matches the Rfam family "Bacterial small subunit ribosomal RNA", at positions 338 to 795 of the family's 1533-position model. The record is from RNAcentral.
CCUACGGGUGGCUGCAGUGGGGGAUAUUGCACAAUGGGGGCAACCCUGAUGCAGCGACGCCGCGUGUGGGAAGACGGUCCUCUGGAUUGUAAACCACUGUCCCCAGGGACGAAGAUGACGGUACCUGGGGAGGAAGCUCCGGCUAACUACGUGCCAGCAGCCGCGGUAAUACGUAGGGGGCAAGCGUUAUCCGGAUUUACUGGGUGUAAAGGGAGCGUAGACGGUAUGGCAAGUCUGAAGUGAAAGCCCAGGGCUUAACCCUGGGACUGCUUUGGAAACUGUUAGACUAGAGUGCUGGAGAGGUAAGUGGAAUUCCUAGUGUAGCGGUGAAAUGCGUAGAUAUUAGGAGGAACACCAGUGGCGAAGGCGGCUUACUGGACAGUAACUGACGUUGAGGCUCGAAAGCGUGGGGAGCAAACAGGAUUAGAUACCCUUGUAGUC